Molecule: ribosomal RNA, 334 nt
Filed under: uncultured eukaryote
Lineage: Eukaryota
Description: partial 18S ribosomal RNA
Rfam family: Eukaryotic small subunit ribosomal RNA
Source: RNAcentral
CCCUUAGAUGUCCGGGGCCGCACGCGCGCUACACUGAAGGAAUCAGCGUGGCUUUCUCCCUGACCCGAAAGGGUUGGGAAACCCGUUGAAUCUCCUUCGUGAUAGGGAUUGGGGCUUGAAAUUGUUCCCCAUGAACGAGGAAUUCCCAGUAAGCGCGAGUCAUAAGCUCGCGUUGAUUACGUCCCUGCCUUUUGUACACACCGCCCGUCGCUACUACCGAUUGAACGGUUUAGUGAGGGCCUCGGAUUGGUCUCGGCCCGCUCUUUACCGGGCGGCGCCGUUGGUCGAGAAGACGCUCGAACUUGAUCGUUUAGAGGAAGUAAAAGUCGUAACA